AUUGAACGCUGGCGGCAGGCCUAACACAUGCAAGUCGAACGAGUGGCGGACGGGUGAGUAAUGUCUGGGAAACUGCCUGAUGGAGGGGGAUAACUACUGGAAACGGUAGCUAAUACCGCAUACCAUCGGAUGUGCCCAGAUGGGAUUAGCUGGUAGGUGGGGUAACGGCUCACCUAGGCGACGAUCCCUAGCUGGUCUGAGAGGAUGACCGGCCACAUGGGAACUGAGACACGGUCCAGACGCCGACGGGAGGGAGCAGUGGGGAAUAUUGCACAAUGGGCGCAAGCCUGAUGCAGCCAUGCCGCGUGUGUGAAGAAGGCCUUCGGGUUGUAAAGCACUUUCAGCGGGGAGGCGUUACCCGCAGAAGAAGCACCGGCUAACUCCGUGCCAGCAGCCGCGGUAAAC
RNAcentral lists this ribosomal RNA (405 nucleotides) under uncultured bacterium. Its description in RNAcentral is "partial 16S ribosomal RNA". It matches the Rfam family "Bacterial small subunit ribosomal RNA", at positions 29 to 525 of the family's 1533-position model. The record is from RNAcentral.